Molecule: non-coding RNA, 1132 nt
Organism: Kogia breviceps (pygmy sperm whale)
Lineage: Eukaryota; Metazoa; Chordata; Mammalia; Artiodactyla; Physeteridae
Source: RefSeq, a predicted model, not a curated record
GUUUUCUUAACUUUAGAAAACUAAUAGUUAUUUGCAACCCAAUCUAAACCAUUGUACAGGAUAGUAAUCUACGCGUAUGUUUCUCUGCACUGAACUUGGCUAUACUAUUUUCCUACUCUUAUUUUAAUGUGUCCUAACUUCCCCAGUGUUUUUCUAACUCUCUUAUUGCAGGUAUUAUUGCCAGACAUUUCAAAAGUUUUCGGGUAAGCCACAAAGGAAGGAAUAAAAGGACUGAAUAUGUAACAUGUCUAAAGAAAGAAGAGCGAAAAAAGGGCAAGCAGUUAAUGCUGGAAAAUGAAAAUUAGUCAAUUUAUCACUAAGCACUAGAUGGACGGGCUCUCAGAUGUACUUUGGCCUCCUGGACAGAUACACCUUAUCCAUGAAGGUCCAUGUUGGAACCAAAAGUCAACAUAUCUGCCCACCCCCUACACACCCAACACACAUGGGUGGAGCAGAGACAGGAGAACACAAGGAAGAAUUCAAUCUCCUUUACUUACUUAUUUAUUUACUUACUGGAAAGAGAUGAAUGGGAGACACUGGUCCACAGCAGUGAUGAAAUCCUGCCAGGAAGGCAUGAAGACCUCCUGCCCAAGUCAUAUGGGUUGUUGACAGAUGAGGGCAACUUCUGAAUCGUGCCCUUAAAGCAGCCCUUCUAGUGGAAUUCGUGUGUGAAGCCAGGAGUUGGUACAACCACCCUGGACUCGUUGAAGAAGCUGUACAGUAAGAACAGUAGAGCUGUAAGACAGAAGUGUAGGUCCUUGAUGUCUUCAAGCAGAACAAACAGCUCGGACAUGAUAAAUAAUUUUGUCUAAUUUUAACCAUCGUCAUUUUGGGAUUACUACCACAGCAGCUGAUAACCUAAUACAUAAUUUGUACCUAAAAGUGAGAUGCUACUGGAUGGAAUAAUACGUGUAACAGGAGGCACUGGCAGUCAGGCAACAGGUGGUGAGGAUACUGUGGACAGGAACGGUGGUGACUCAUGCUACGGCAAAACAUCUGAUAAAACUAUCAUCAUAUGAUACUUAAGGUGCAGACCACGUGCUUAUAGAGCCUAUAGCUGUAAGGCAGUGUUUCUUAACAUAGGUCCUCUUGGCAUUUGGGGUAGAAUAACUUUUUGCUGGUCAAGAACACC